RNAcentral lists this unclassified non-coding RNA (391 nucleotides) under soil metagenome. Its description in RNAcentral is "partial contains 5.8S ribosomal RNA, internal transcribed spacer 2, and large subunit ribosomal RNA". The stretch from base 1 to 122 matches the Rfam family "5.8S ribosomal RNA", at positions 35 to 154 of the family's 154-position model. The record is from RNAcentral.
GAUGAAGAACGUAGCGAAAUGUGAUACUUGGUGUGAAUUGCAGAAUCCCGUGAACCAUCGAGUCUUUGAACGCAAGUUGCGCCCGAAGCCACUAGGCCGAGGGCACGCCUGCCUGGGCGUCACACGCCGUUGCCCCCCCAUCUACUCCUUCGGGAUUGCGGGGGGGCGGAUGAUGGCCUCCCGUGCGCCUAGCCGCGCGGUUGGCAUAAAUACCAAGUCCUCGGCGACGCACGCCACGACAAUCGGUGGUUGCGAAACCUCGGUUGCCCGUCGUGUGCGUUCGUCGCGCAUCGAGGGCUCGAAAAAAUGCUCGGCUCCGGCUGGGCUUUCAACGCGACCCCAGGUCAGGUGGGGUUACCCGCUGAAUUUAAGCAUAUCAAUAAGCGGAGGA